CCACUUCGGUGGGGAUUAGUGGCGAACGGGUGAGUAACACGUGGGCAAUCUGCCCUGCACUCUGGGACAAGCCCUGGAAACGGGGUCUAAUACCGGAUAUGACCAUCUUGGGCAUCCUUGAUGGUGUAAAGCUCCGGCGGUGCAGGAUGAGCCCGCGGCCUAUCAGCUUGUUGGUGAGGUAACGGCUCACCAAGGCGACGACGGGUAGCCGGCCUGAGAGGGCGACCGGCCACACUGGGACUGAGACACGGCCCAGACUCCUACGGGAGGCAGCAGUGGGGAAUAUUGCACAAUGGGCGCAAGCCUGAUGCAGCGACGCCGCGUGAGGGAUGACGGCCUUCGGGUUGUAAACCUCUUUCAGCAGGGAAGAAGCGAAAGUGACGGUACCUGCAGAAGAAGCGCCGGCUAACUACGUGCCAGCAGCCGCGGUAAUACGUAGGGCGCGAGCGUUGUCCGGAAUUAUUGGGCGUAAAGAGCUCGUAGGCGGCUUGUCGCGUCGGUUGUGAAAGCCCGGGGCUUAACCCCGGGUCUGCAGUCGAUACGGGCAGGCUAGAGUUCGGUAGGGGAGAUCGGAAUUCCUGGUGUAGCGGUGAAAUGCGCAGAUAUCAGGAGGAACACCGGUGGCGAAGGCGGAUCUCUGGGCCGAUACUGACGCUGAGGAGCGAAAGCGUGGGGAGCGAACAGGAUUAGAUACCCUGGUAGUC
RNAcentral lists this ribosomal RNA (704 nucleotides) under Streptomyces sp. RNAcentral describes it as "bacterial SSU rRNA". It matches the Rfam family "Bacterial small subunit ribosomal RNA", at positions 75 to 795 of the family's 1533-position model. Lineage: Bacteria; Bacillati; Actinomycetota; Actinomycetes; Kitasatosporales; Streptomycetaceae. The record is from RNAcentral.